Procambarus clarkii (red swamp crayfish) is the source of this 504-nucleotide non-coding RNA. The record is from RefSeq and is a predicted model, not a curated record. NCBI's taxonomy places the organism in Eukaryota, Metazoa, Arthropoda, Malacostraca, Decapoda, Cambaridae.
GUGGGUGUGUUUACCAUGGAGAGGGCGCUUGAUAGGGGGCGGGGAAGAGAAGGGAACACAACAUCUGUAACAUAAGAAGCUAAAUCUUAUCUCCCGUGACCCAGAACCGCCAGCUCCUCCACCACCACCUCUUCCUGGUCUCCGCUUCAGCUACUUGCACACUACAUACACUCCAGUUGCUGAAGAAUCGUCAUCCAACUGACGUAGAUCAUGGCGCCCACAACGUUGAUCUGGAAGGUUGUUAUAUUGGCAGCUGCUGGUACAGGUAGUAUACACACAUUACCAGCUGCUAGUACAGGUAGUAUACACACAUCACCAGCUGCUAGUACAGGUAAUAUACACACAUCACCAGCUGCUAGUACAGGUAGUAUACAUACAUCAUCAACUGCUAGUACAGGUAGUAUACAUACAUCAUCAACUGCUAGUACAGGUAGUAUACAUACAUCAGCAGCUGCUAGUACAGGUAAUAUACAUACAUCACCAACUGCUAGUACAGGUAAUAUA